UGUAUGUAUAUAUAUAUAUAUAUAUAUAUAUAUUUACUUCUCUCUUAACCAUCAGCAUGAUACUAGGAAAAUAUAUUAUCAUUAUCAUCAUCAUCAUCAUCAUCUUUAUCCUUAAUAGAACUGGGAAAAAUAUACCAAAGUCUACUACAAAAUUGUUGCUGCUUCUUCAAAGAGGCUCUCAUAGUAAAUGGGCAGUGCAUUAGUUUAAAAGAAAAGAAAAGAAAAAAUCGAAAGAAAGAGAUGGAGAGAGAGAGAAAAAAAGAAAGAAUGAGUGAGAAAGGUGUGUCACAAACAAUGAAGUAAAGUAAAAGAAGUACUGAAAUAAAAUUUGAAAGAAAAAAAAAUGAUAUAUUUAAAACCACAAAAACAUAAUUUAUACAAAUAGUAAUGAUUAUGAAUCUGAACCAUUUCAUACACA
Long non-coding RNA from Octopus sinensis (East Asian common octopus), 418 nucleotides. RefSeq lists it as uncharacterized. NCBI's taxonomy places the organism in Eukaryota, Metazoa, Mollusca, Cephalopoda, Octopoda, Octopodidae. The record is from RefSeq and is a predicted model, not a curated record. The transcript is spliced from 2 exons.